GGGCCGUUAGCUCAGCUUGGUAGAGCAGCGGACUUUUAAUCCGUUGGUCGCUGGUUCGAAUCCAGCACGGCCUACCA
RNAcentral lists this transfer RNA (77 nucleotides) under Burkholderiales bacterium. RNAcentral describes it as "tRNA-Lys". It matches the Rfam family "tRNA". From Rfam's summary of the family: Transfer RNA (tRNA) molecules are approximately 80 nucleotides in length. Their secondary structure includes four short double-helical elements and three loops (D, anti-codon, and T loops). Further hydrogen bonds mediate the characteristic L-shaped molecular structure. tRNAs have two regions of fundamental functional importance: the anti-codon, which is responsible for specific mRNA codon recognition, and the 3' end, to which the tRNAs corresponding amino acid is attached (by aminoacyl-tRNA synthetases). tRNAs cope with the degeneracy of the genetic code in two manners: having more than one tRNA (with a specific anti-codon) for a particular amino acid; and 'wobble' base-pairing, i.e. permitting non-standard base-pairing at the 3rd anti-codon position. The record is from RNAcentral. Lineage: Bacteria; Pseudomonadati; Pseudomonadota; Betaproteobacteria; Burkholderiales. RNAcentral also lists the same sequence under 4 other names.